AUUGAACGCUGGCGGCAUGCUUUACAUAUGCAAGUCGAACGGUAACAGGCCUUCGGGUGCUGACGAGUGGCGAACGGGUGAGUAAUGCAUCGGAACGUGCCCAGAGGUGGGGGAUAACGCAGCGAAAGCUGUGCUAAUACCGCAUGUGAUCUGAGGAUGAAAGCGGGGGACCAAGCAGCAAUGUUUGGCCUCGCGCCUCUGGAGCGGCCGAUGUCAGAUUAGGUAGUUGGUGGGGUAAAGGCCUACCAAGCCGACGAUCUGUAGCUGGUCUGAGAGGACGGCCAGCCACACUGGGACUGAGACACGGCCCAGACUCCUACGGGAGGCAGCAGUGGGGAAUUUUGGACAAUGGGCGCAAGCCUGAUCCAGCAAUGCCGCGUGCGGGAAGAAGGCCUUCGGGUUGUAAACCGCUUUUGUACGGAACGAAAAGGCUCUGGCUAAUACCUGGGGCUGAUGACGGUACCGUAAGAAUAAGCACCGGCUAACUACGUG
This 492-nucleotide ribosomal RNA is filed under the name uncultured bacterium. Its description in RNAcentral is "partial 16S ribosomal RNA". It matches the Rfam family "Bacterial small subunit ribosomal RNA", at positions 30 to 507 of the family's 1533-position model. The record is from RNAcentral.